Molecule: ribosomal RNA, 365 nt
Filed under: Addax nasomaculatus
Lineage: Eukaryota; Metazoa; Chordata; Mammalia; Artiodactyla; Bovidae
Description: 12S ribosomal RNA
Source: RNAcentral
CAUAGGUUUGGUCCCAGCCUUCCCGUUAACUUUCAAUAGACUUACACAUGCAAGCAUCUACGCCCCGGUGAGAAUGCCCUCUAAGUCAACCGGACCAUGAGGAGCGGGUAUCAAGCACACUAUUCGUAGCUCAUGACGCCUUGCUUAACCACACCCCCACGGGAGACAGCAGUGACAAAAAUUAAGCCAUGAACGAAAGUUUGACUAAGCCAUAUUGAUUAGGGUUGGUAAAUCUCGUGCCAGCCACCGCCGUCAUACGAUUAACCCAAGCUAACAGGAAUACGGCGUAAAACGUGUUAAAGCGCUACACCAAAUAGAGUUAAGUUUUUAUUGAACUGUAAAAAGUCAUAAUUACAAUAAAAAUA